RNAcentral lists this ribosomal RNA (792 nucleotides) under uncultured bacterium. RNAcentral's name for it is "bacterial SSU rRNA". It matches the Rfam family "Bacterial small subunit ribosomal RNA", at positions 8 to 793 of the family's 1533-position model. The record is from RNAcentral.
AGAGUUUGAUCCUGGCUCAGAUUGAACGCUGGCGGAAUGCUUUACACAUGCAAGUCGAACGGCAGCACGGGAGCUUGCUCCUGGUGGCGAGUGGCGAACGGGUGAGUAAUGCGUCGGAACGUCCCGAGUAAUGGGGGAUAACGCAGCGAAAGCUGUGCUAAUACCGCAUACGCCCCGAGGGGGAAAGCAGGGGAUCGCAAGACCUUGCGUUAUUCGAGCGGCCGACGUCUGAUUAGCUGGUUGGUGGGGUAAAGGCCUACCAAGGCGACGAUCAGUAGCGGGUCUGAGAGGAUGAUCCGCCACACUGGGACUGAGACACGGCCCAGACUCCUACGGGAGGCAGCAGUGGGGAAUUUCGGACAAUGGGGGCAACCCUGAUCCAGCCAUUCCGCGUGAGUGAAGAAGGCCUUCGGGUUGUAAAGCUCUUUCAGCUGGAACGAAACGGUACGCGCUAACAUCGCGUACUAAUGACGGUACCGGCAGAAGAAGCACCGGCUAACUACGUGCCAGCAGCCGCGGUAAUACGUAGGGUGCGAGCGUUAAUCGGAAUUACUGGGCGUAAAGCGUGCGCAGGCGGAUUGUUAAGCAAGACGUGAAAUCCCCGGGCUUAACCUGGGAAUGGCGUUUUGAACUGGCAGUCUGGAGUGUGUCAGAGGGGGGUGGAAUUCCACGUGUAGCAGUGAAAUGCGUAGAUAUGUGGAGGAACACCGAUGGCGAAGGCAGCCCCCUGGGAUAACACUGACGCUCAUGUACGAAAGCGUGGGUAGCAAACAGGAUUAGAUACCCUGGUAG